This 465-nucleotide ribosomal RNA is filed under the name uncultured bacterium. RNAcentral describes it as "partial 16S ribosomal RNA". It matches the Rfam family "Bacterial small subunit ribosomal RNA", at positions 339 to 795 of the family's 1533-position model. The record is from RNAcentral.
CUACGGGGGGCAGCAGUGGGGAAUAUUGGACAAUGGGGGAAACCCUGAUCCAGCAAUGCCGCGUGUGUGAAGAAGGCCUGCGGGUUGUAAAGCACUUUCGGUUGGGAGGACUGCUUCUAGCACUAAUAUUGUUGGAAGUUGACGUUACCUUCAGAAGAAGCACCGGCUAACUCCGUGCCAGCAGCCGCGGUAAUACGGAGGGUGCAAGCAUUAAUCGGAAUUACUGGGCGUAAAGCGCGCGUAGGCGGCUAGAUCAGUCGGGUGUGAAAGCCCCGGGCUUAACCUGGGAACUGCAUCCGAUACUGUCUAGCUUGAGUACAGGAGGGGAGAGUGGAAUUCCACAUGUAGCGGUGAUAUGCGUAGAUAUGUGGAGGAACACCAAUGGCGAAGGCAGCUCUCUGGCCUGAUACUGACGCUGAGGUGCGAAAGCGUGGGGAGCAAACAGGAUUAGAUACCCUUGUAGUC